Molecule: long non-coding RNA, 683 nt
Organism: Poecilia latipinna (sailfin molly)
Lineage: Eukaryota; Metazoa; Chordata; Actinopteri; Cyprinodontiformes; Poeciliidae
Exons: 3
Source: RefSeq, a predicted model, not a curated record
UUUACUUGAGUAACUUCUUGGGUGGACACUACACUUUUUACUUUUACUAGUACUAGUAAUAAUAGUAAUACUAUGAACUAUUGUGACUUAUAUUUGAGUAGAUUGAUUUUGCAUAAAGAAAUAGACUUAAGUUAUUGGAAACAUUAGAUUCUUAGACUUCUGCAACAUAUGAGCAAAUGUUUAUGCAAAUCAGAGAAUAUUUGCUCAGCAUGCUAGUAUUUGCAUCAUUAGUUAUUUGUAUUUGUAAACAAAAUGGGUAUUUUGUUUGAAAGGUAUAAGCUUGUUUAUGUAUUUAUAUAAAAUAAAAUGACCCUUUACUGUUCCACCUUAAAAUCCUCCAAAUUCCUCUGCCAAGUCUGAUUGUUACUGUUUUUGCAGAGUUCACCAGAAUGGAGGAUAGGAUCUCCCGUGCUACAUUCAAUGUUGAAAAGGAGUCGUUCAUAACGUACUUCCAGAGAUUCUUGGUCAGGUUGAAAGAAAGACCAUCGAUGUUGUUGCCAUGAGGCCUGCUAUCCUACAAUGUUUCUCAGUUUUCCUCAAGGACGAUGACAAAGUUCUGCAAUGUCUCUGGAUUCAGAUGCCAUGGCAGACUUCAUCCUGGUUUCUGUGGGGUUAUUGACUGUUAUGUUAUGCUAAGUAUAUCAUUUGGUUAAAAUAAAAUGUUGAAUCUUGUGAACUUAAAA